AGGAUGAACGCUGGCGGCGUGCUUAACACAUGCAAGUCGAACGAUGAUCCCAGCUUGCUGGGGGAUUAGUGGCGAACGGGUGAGUAACACGUGAGUAACCUGCCCUUAACUCUGGGAUAAGCCUGGGAAACUGGGUCUAAUACCGGAUAUGACUCCUCAUCGCAUGGUGGGGGG
RNAcentral lists this ribosomal RNA (174 nucleotides) under uncultured soil bacterium. RNAcentral describes it as "partial 16S ribosomal RNA". It matches the Rfam family "Bacterial small subunit ribosomal RNA", at positions 26 to 200 of the family's 1533-position model. The record is from RNAcentral.